ACAUACGACCACAGGACAAUGAAUAUAGGCCAUCCCGUCCGCUCUGGCGUUCUCAAGCAUUGUACCGCGAGAUUAGUACUACGGUGGGUGACCACGUGGGAAUACCUUGUGUUGUAUGUU
Ribosomal RNA from Dothistroma septosporum NZE10, 120 nucleotides. NCBI's taxonomy places the organism in Eukaryota, Fungi, Ascomycota, Dothideomycetes, Mycosphaerellales, Mycosphaerellaceae. The record is from Rfam.